RNAcentral lists this transfer RNA (72 nucleotides) under Candidatus Falkowbacteria bacterium CG_4_10_14_0_2_um_filter_48_10. RNAcentral describes it as "tRNA-Gly". It matches the Rfam family "tRNA". From Rfam's summary of the family: Transfer RNA (tRNA) molecules are approximately 80 nucleotides in length. Their secondary structure includes four short double-helical elements and three loops (D, anti-codon, and T loops). Lineage: Bacteria; Candidatus Falkowiibacteriota. RNAcentral also lists the same sequence under 1 other name. The record is from RNAcentral.
GCGGGUAUCGUAUAACGGUUAUUAUAAUAGCUUCCCAAGCUAUGGAUACGGGUCCGACUCCCGUUACCCGCU